This is a non-coding RNA of Triplophysa rosa, 75 nucleotides long. NCBI's taxonomy places the organism in Eukaryota, Metazoa, Chordata, Actinopteri, Cypriniformes, Nemacheilidae. The record is from the annotation of a RefSeq genome assembly.
GGUGAGGUAGCUCAGUCGGUUUAGAGCAACAGAAUCAUAAUCUGUAGGUCGCGGGUUCGAUUCCCUCUCUCACCA